GGAAAUUGAUGGAUUUUCAGUGAAAUGGUAGUUGCGGUAGAGAAGGAAAUGAGGUGAUCCUAGCUUCAGGCAACCUCCAUUGUUGGAAGAAAGCUAAGAGGUGGGAAAGAGUUGAUGGAAGAGAUUACUUUGGCAAGCAUUUUGCUAUGCAUAGACAAAUUUCAGAAUGCAGAAAUUUCUCAUAUAUUCCAAAGUGUUUUACAAGUGAUGCCUUCAUGAAUUUAUAGAUGCAUUCAUGAAGCUAAGGCAUGGCAAUGG
Molecule: long non-coding RNA, 258 nt
Filed under: Vigna radiata
Lineage: Eukaryota; Viridiplantae; Streptophyta; Magnoliopsida; Fabales; Fabaceae
Description: long non-coding RNA (VRAD_LNC004741)
Source: RNAcentral